AACAUACAAAAAUAUCCGCCAGAGAACUACGAGCAAAACGCUUAAAACUCUAAGGACUUGGCGGUACCUUAAACCCCCCUAGAGGAGCCUGUUCUAUAAUCGAUAAUCCACGAUCUACCUCACCAUCUCUUGCCAAUACCGCCUAUAUACCGCCGUCACCAGCCUACCCUAUGAAGGAUAUAAAAGUAGGCAAAAUCGCACAACAGCUAACAAGUCAGGUCAAGGUGUAGCUUACUGAGAUGGAAGAAAUGGGCUACAUUUUCUAAACUAGAAAUCAUUUCACGGAAAGAACUAUGAAACAAGUUCUAUAAGCAGGAUUUAGCAGUAAAUAGGGAUCAGAAUGCCCAAUUUAAGCCGGUCCUAAGGUACGCACACACCGCCCGUCACCCUCUGC
RNAcentral lists this ribosomal RNA (394 nucleotides) under Testudo hermanni boettgeri. Its description in RNAcentral is "partial small subunit ribosomal RNA". It matches the Rfam family "Bacterial small subunit ribosomal RNA", at positions 854 to 1407 of the family's 1533-position model. The record is from RNAcentral. Lineage: Eukaryota; Metazoa; Chordata; Testudines; Testudinidae.